GACGAACGCUGGCGGCGUGCCUAAUACAUGCAAGUAGAACGCACAGUUUAUACCGUAGCUUGCUACACCAUAGACUGUGAGUUGCGAACGGGUGAGUAACGCGUAGGUAACCUGCCUGGUAGCGGGGGAUAACUAUUGGAAACGAUAGCUAAUACCGCAUAAUAUUGAUUAUUGCAUGAUAAUUAAUUGAAAGGUGCAAUUGCACCACUACCAGAUGGACCUGCGUUGUAUUAGCUAGUAGGUGAGGUAACGGCUCAACUAGGCGACGAUACAUAGCCGACCGGAGAGGGUGAUCGGCCACACUGGGACUGAGACACGGCCCAGACUCCUACGGGAGGCAGCAGUAGGGAAUCUUCGGCAAUGGACGAAAGUCUGACCGAGCAACGCCGCGUGAGUGAAGAAGGUUUUCGGAUCGUAAAGCUCUGUUGUAAGAGAAGAACGGGUGUGAGAGUGGAAAGUUCACACUGUGACGGUAUCUUACCAGAAAGGGACGGCUAACUACGUG
This 505-nucleotide ribosomal RNA is filed under the name uncultured bacterium. RNAcentral's name for it is "partial 16S ribosomal RNA". It matches the Rfam family "Bacterial small subunit ribosomal RNA", at positions 28 to 507 of the family's 1533-position model. The record is from RNAcentral.